GUGUUGUAUGAAAGGAGAAAAGGUUAGCACUCCCCUUGAUAAGGAUGGAAGGGGCCCUGCCCCAGUAGCCUUACAACACACAUAUAGUUAAGGCAUUGCCAUCUACCUAGUGGCAAAUAAGGGGCGGCAUGG
Molecule: small nuclear RNA, 132 nt
Organism: Leucoraja erinaceus (little skate)
Lineage: Eukaryota; Metazoa; Chordata; Chondrichthyes; Rajiformes; Rajidae
Source: RefSeq, a predicted model, not a curated record